Molecule: long non-coding RNA, 297 nt
Organism: Mauremys reevesii (Reeves's turtle)
Lineage: Eukaryota; Metazoa; Chordata; Testudines; Geoemydidae
Exons: 3
Source: RefSeq, a predicted model, not a curated record
AUCUUUUCAAGCAGCUGCAUUGAUUGUUUUCACAAAGGCUGGUCAAGUUGAUAAGUUUCUAGAAUAACCUGGCAAAACUGAGAUAAGCCCUGUACAUGUAUCCACAGGAAGUCCAAGAAAGAAUGUGAAGACCUGGCUGCCUAUGACCUGACCCUGAUGCUUUGUGUGAACCACUACCCCAGGAAGUGAGCCCAGGAAAGAAAUCAGGAUGGAGGCAAUUGGUCAACCUCAGCUCUGAGAAGAAAUGGGGUUCUCUGAGUGUACUGCCUACCUCCUGAAAAACAACCAAGCACUACA